This is a long non-coding RNA of Motacilla alba alba, 5431 nucleotides long. RefSeq lists it as uncharacterized. Lineage: Eukaryota; Metazoa; Chordata; Aves; Passeriformes; Motacillidae. The record is from RefSeq and is a predicted model, not a curated record. The transcript has 3 exons.
UGAAAUUUAAUGAUAAUGGUACUAUUAAAGUAAAACUCUUCAGACCUGAUGGAAUUCAGAAAAUGCACAAGCUCCAAUUAAUAUUCUAAACAGAUCCAGCCCUUUCUAGGAACUUGGCAGCAGUCUGAGGUAGUUCAGAUCAAGGAUUCACCUGCUUUCUUUUUAGAGAAAAACACAAAAGCUGGGAUGAAGUUUUAUUGGAAGUGAUGCCCUUUCAUUGUCAGUAACAGGCAAAUGAGUAGUGGAGUGACAGAAGGAGUCCAUCAAAGGCUGAGAUGAAGCUGUGACAUCCUGCCAGGAAAUGGGAGCCUUUCCACCAGAGUGCUGAUGGAUCAUCAGACUUAACUCUAUCAAAGAGAAAAUCUGCAAUAACUGAGGCUCGGGUAUGAGGCAAGACCACCUCUACUCACCCAGCGAUGACCGCCUCGACAGAAGCUGUCAGCAGAGGUCCCUAUGGUCUGCUGAAACCUGGAGCUUCCCUUUUCUUUCCAGUACAUGAAGAUGGACAGAAAUGUAAGUAAAAGACUUAAAAGUAAAAGAUGAAGCACAUUGAAGGGUGGAGAGCAGUGUACGGUUGUGAAGUGAAUGAAUAUUGAAUUGCUGUACAUUGAAGCAGUUAGGGACAUUAAUUACUCUGGAUUUUAAGUAUUAGAAGGGGAACAUGCACUAUACAUGUACUUUUAGAAUGUGUGCCUGAGAAAUUAACAUAUAUCUGCAUAACCCUAAAAAACCUCUAUAGAUUCAGAACCAUUCCUGAAAUUUGCCAAGUUUGUGUUUUGCUUUGCUAGGCACUUAGAAAAGACAGGAUUUUCCCUUCUCCAUCUCAGGCAAAGUGGGUUCCAAAGGGGUUCAAAUCCUGGUAAUCCAGCCUGAAGAAUGAAAUAUUCCUGAAAGGAGGGAGUAUGCUGUCUGAAGAACAGAUCUCUGCCAGGGCUGCUGCUCUUACAGGCACAUCCAGGCUGGCUGUAAAUGAGGUUGUUCAGGCAGUAAUGUAGCCACAGCAGCUCAGAGCGGCACAGGGCACACUGUUUACCCAGUUUUUCAGCCAUGGAACAACAUUCACAUCAGUGAAUGCAGUGGAGACAUACCCAGAAUAAGAAUGUGAUUUAUUCUUUCAAUGUGAGAAGCAGCUAUAUGUUCAACAAAGGCUUUCCUUAGACUAAUGGCCAAAGUAGGCCCCAGUGCAGCUCCUCUAUAGACUGAGAAGAAAGGAUUGUUUGUUGAGGCCCAACUGUCCCCAAAAACCAGUCUGCUGAGUGGAUUCUGUCAUGUAUGAGUUCUCUGCUCGCUCCAUUGUCACAGGAGUUUCCGUGAGCCUGCCAUGCACGGCAUAACUGGGAAUUUACUGCAGCACUUGCUGAUAGAGCAAAUAAUUCAAAGUCCUGUCACAGCUUGGAAAGAACAGAUGACUACUACAGAACAGUUUAAUAUAUAUAAGAUAUUGUUUACCAGUGGAAUACAGGACAAUGUGAUUUUUCUAUAGACCCUCUCAUUCUCAAGGAAUGGCAAAGCAUUUAAUGAAGGAAUGAGUUAGAGUUGUGGUUGUUCAGUCCACAGCACUGGCUGGUUUAGCCUUUCAGUGCAAAAUCAUUACGUGCUUAGCAGUAGCUCACAGAGCUAUGGCCAGUAAGGGCUGUCAUGCUGAGACAGGGACACUGGUCCUGACACUCUCUUUGUCCCCUCAAGCUGUCUGUAGUAUUGCUUGCUCUCUCCUUGGAUGGGUACCAGAAGAAGAAAGAAGGAAACUUUUGUAAAUUCUGAGGUUUUCCCCAGUGCCAGUGACAAUAACUCUGACCAUGUGGUACCUUUUAUUGUGAAUUGCAAGACCUGCAGUUGGGUGAGCCCGGGUUUUUUGUAGGAACUCUGCUCUUCACAACUAUUUUCUUGGUCAGCAUAUGUCUCCUGUAUUCUUGGGAAAAAAAAUAUGUGCUCUCCUGCUCCAGUGUGGGUAGCUAACCUUCCUGAAUUGGUGAAACAGCCAAGGAGUAAAACUACACCAUUUGCUUUCCAGGCAGACUUGACUUCAGCUGAAUUUCAAAGUCAGUUAUGCACGUGCUUCAUGUAAACUAAUGCUCCUGAAAAUUGCUGCUUUUUAAACCCAAUUUAUAAUAUCACUCAUUUUGGGCGCUACUCAUUUCAAGCCUUUUCAAGGGCUGUUUUUAUUUGCAUAUCUCCAGCACUGAUUUUUGGAUGUAACACUGCUGUGUUCUUUGUCUUUCUUAGUAUUUGGUUUAGGUUGUCAUUACAGAAAAGACCACUCCUCCCAGCAGUGAGGUCUGUCUCACCAGGUAUUGCAAGGACAUUCAAGGACGUAGUGCAGAACAAAUGGUUGUGCUUGCACAACCAGCAACCAGCUUGCACGUUACAAUUGCACAUUAGCAUGGUUUUGGUGCUUGCACAAUUUGCAGUAAACUUGGCUGGAACUGUAGGUAGAAGUCAUUGCUCUAAAAUAAAGGUGAUCAGCUGAAGAAGGCAGUGUCAGUCUGUGUGUAAGUCAUGCUCUAAGCAUGAGCCCUGUUAAUGGAUCCCCAGCUCUGCUGUCCCUUCUCCAGCCCUUGCACACCCUACAGUGGUGGAUCAGCACAGAUCCACAGCCUCUCUCCAGCCUCGGUAUUUGUUGGACCACGUGUGGAGCCCCAGAGCAGGACAGAGAUUGUGACUUCAUGCUCCACAAAUGCAGAAUGUCUUCUGGUUGGGCUCAGCUCUCAAAACCUGUUUGUCAUGCAGGUUUACUCAGAUGGGGCUUGUUAUACAGGGCCUCACAGCUCAGUGUGAGUGCUCUGGUUUCAAUCUGUGCAGACAAAUGCAGAUUAAGAAGAUAGUACCCCAAAGGUAUCUGAUUCAACCAAACUCUUCAACACAUCCCUAUCUUCAGCCAUGUGGAGUAUUUAGUUUUUAAUGAUACAUACAUUUGGACAAAAGCACAAGCUGCUCAUGAGACUACAUGAGCAGAAGGAGAGACUGUGUUGAUCAACUCUUUUUCUGCUGGCAAUGAUUCAUUCAGGUCACCCUUUUACUGUAAAAGUUUGGGAGCUGGAGUGAGUCAUGCCAAGAGCUUAAGGGGCUGGAGUGGCUCCAUUGGAUGCAGAAUGAUGGAAAAAGGGUGAGAGGAUGGGGAGGAGAAGGGCCACUGCCCCCUCAUGCUCCUGGUCCUGAUCCUGCAUGAGGUGACGUUUGCUGCUCUGGCUGCUGCUCUCCUGUGUGUGAGACUGAUUUCCCAGUGCCUCCUGUGGCCCUGCCCUGGUGGCUGUCUGUGUCCCUGGGCUGUGGCUAUGUCCCUGGGCUGUGCCCAUCACCCUGGGCCCUGCAGGGAGAGCUGCCCCAUCCCCACUGCCAUCAGUGCCCUCCGGGCAAAAGAGGAAUUGCAGAGUUGAGGCUGUGACUGCUGGGAAGGGUGUUGCUGUACCUCAGCAGCUGGAUGGAUGUCAUUUAAAAUGAGAGAAGGGGAAGAAAACCUACAAAACAAGUUUUGGAAAAAUCUUUAUCAAACAAUACCUGUUGUGGGAGCUGCUUUCAGUGAGAUGCAAACGCAUACUCCUUUCAUUUCUGCAACAGUUCUGAGCUGCUUCAUUAAUAACAGACUUGUUUGGGAGACUGACAAGAUGGGAACCAGCACUGUAAUAACACACUGCUCUUUUUGUGAGGACUGCCAUGAAAACAACGCUGUGUUCUCAUUUUCUCCAAAGACAAGCAGGGGAACAAAUUUCUAACACCUUGCCCUCCGUUGCAGCUGGACACAGUUCCAGACUGACAUGAAUCAAUUAAAAGUAAUAAUGUAACCCAUAGAAACAUUAUUCAGCAAGCUUCAUGUAAAAGAAAGCAUUUCUGCUUGCCUAAUUAAGGGAUGAGAAAAAAAGUAUGUAUUUUUGGCAGUAGUUGUGGAAGUACUUUGCUUUUUUUUUUUUUUCAAAAGUCAGACCAUCAUAGCACAAACAAUUAACAAAAGAAAAAUGUUUCCUUUUCCUGGAGUUGGCUAAUUAAAAACUUUCUCCCUCAUCAAUUCACUGAACACCGAAGGAGACAUUUCGUGCCUUUUUAGCACCUGGAAUGCCAUAUUUAUUUUUCAAUUGAAAAACUGUAUUACAGUGAACUGUCAUACACCCAGCUUACCUGGAUUCUCUAAAUAAAGCAGUGAUAAUCUUUAUCAUUGCUCUCUUGACUUUGUUUCAACAUUCUUUUUAAUGCAAAUUUCCUAAUCUAACUUGUAAAACAUUUAAUAUUUAGAAUAUACUCCUUUAAGAUCCAUCAAAAGAGGCAAAGCUGCACAACAAUGCCUGGUGCUGGAGCAUUGUGAGCCUGCUACAAAGGAAUGAGGUGAUUCUUUCUUUCAGGUCAGAAGGUCAGGCUUCACUGCAUUAAUUUUGCUGAGUCUCUUUGUUAUUUAUAACAAACAAGGUCAUUUAUUUUCAUUUCCUUGUUUCUAAUUGCAUGCAUCUCCUUUGGAGUAUGAACUCGGUAAACAGGUGGCUGAAAUGCUGGGGAAAAUACUUGAAGCUGUUCCAGAAAAAGGGCAUGUCCCACACUGGUAAAGCAAUUUGAUGAGUUAGAGAUUUAGUCAUAGCAGGAUGUGCACCUGCUUGAAAGCAAACACACUUCUCUUUGGCACACACAGAUACAUGCAAAUUAAAAGAGAUUAUUUCACUCUGAAUGGUGGGUUGAUAUUUGAUCAAAUUUAACACUGUAUAUUUUAAAUAAAGCCUUGGUGUAUAUAAGUGAAAUACAAUCUCUUUUCAGCUGCUUUUGAUUUUUUUUUCCAACUUCUCUUUGAGUAUUACAAAUGAAUGAUAUUUCUUCACUAGCUGAGCCUACAAAAAGAGUAUGUCUCUGGAGGAGAACUUUAUCAGUGGAUCUUUAUGAUGAGAACUACCUACAUGCACUGAAAAAAAAUGGGAUAAUGAAAAGCUAGGAUGUUUGACUGACAAGGAAUAAACCAGAUCUUAAAUUUUUUAUACUAAAGUGAAUUCUCACAAAUUAAAGGGCAUUCAUUGGAGUGAUAGCAGUACAUCUUUUUAAUCCUGUAAACCCCACGUUUCCAGGCAGCCCAAAUGGAACUCCUAAAUAUAUUCAUGGGCAGCUUUUGCAUAGGUAGUUGUUGAAUUUGCAUUUCAAAAUACUGGCACUGUAGGGCUAAAUCUGUGGCUGCUUUGUCCUGAAAGAUGAGAUACACUGUGGACUACCUUGAUUUUAGGGGUAUUUGAGAAUAUAGCAGGAAGCAGUAAUUGUCUGGCAUGACUGAGCUUCUGUUGUCGGUGGUUGAGAACAGGUCCAGGGCUGAAUCCAUAAGGGAAACAGAGAGAGAAUUCUCAGCAAGGUUUUCAGGUUCCCCAGAGAAUGGGAGGCACCAUGCCCCGUGUCCACGGGCUCUGCUCUGAGCUUUGGAGCUUCAGAAAUGUCUCUGAGCAAGGGGAAAGCGUGGGAGGAAAGCUGGAGA